GCCCUGCGCGCUGCCUGCCGUCCAGCGGCCGGGCAGGGGGUGUUGGCUGUAUCGUGCAGUGCUCGGUGGCCACGAAGCACGAGGAAAGGCCGCCGGCUGCCUCUCGCUAGUCCAGGCACACAGCAUCGGGAUGGUAGAGGGAUGGUUUGAGGGGAGCGGACCAAUUUGUUAGUGCAGCAACGGGAGCUCUGCUGUCCGCCCGUGCAAUGCAGCCGCAGGCUGAAGCUGCAGCGUUUGUCCUCCUGCUGCGACUGCUGCUCCGGGAAAGCUUUGAGGCUGGAAAUGGAGGAUCCCACAGGGCUCGGUAUGGCGAGAUGGGUCCUGAGUUCUGCACACGAGGUGUGUUUUGCACGCACAGGUGGUGCGUAAAGCUUUGCCGGGUACCGGCGUCCCUCAAGAACGCUUUGCCCUCACUGUUUGCAGUCACUGAAUGGAAACGUGCGGCGGGCUGCGUCCCACAAAACCCUGCCGGGGAGUUCAAUUCAUUAUUAACUACUGACAUUUCCAACUCAGGCAGCUGAGAAUGUGCCCAUGAGGCGGUUCAAGAAAAAUCCUGAACUCUCAUUUCACUUGAACCUCUACAAAGAGAGGUCCAGAGCCUUCCCCAUUCUCCAGAAGGGUGAGUCUGGUGCCACAGGAGUGACCAAGAGCCUCACCAGGAUGAAGGAAGAGGAAGAACGUUCAGAACUGAGGAUAUCAGAGGUCUGUGAGGAUAGCAGUCCCCUGGGAAAGUACCAACAAGAAUCAUUUUGGCCUGGCAGGAUUUCCUCAGGCAAAGCUGCUCUUGACUUAUAAAGGAACCUGGCUUAAAAAAUUGCAGGAGAUGUUCAUAACAAACGGGGAGAAAAUGCUUCAAAUUUUCCCUGUGGAAAUUCAAGAUGAUGACUAGCUUUGAUUUCUUGCUGACAAAUACAAGCCAAGGAAGCUGAGGAUCUGUUCUGCAGCAUUGGAUGUAUCUAACAGAGACUGCUAAGGAGAGGUUGUGACUGAAUCUAAGGACAUCUUCAGACUCUGAACAAAGACCGUUUUCAGCUCUUCACUGCCUUCCUCAUUGGUGAGCACAAUCCUAGCCCAUGAACACAAAGUGAGCCCAGUGUUUCAAGAGUUUUGAGUUUCAAACUCAAAGAGACAAACCCUGAAGCUGUCCCAUGCCAGGGUGGAGACACUUCCUUGGUAAAAACCAGAUGGUCCUCAUAUUCCCUAAAUAGCCUCAUCACACAAGAAAUGAUGUCACACACAGAGAGUCAAUGCCAUUUUCUCCUUUGAUGAAAUGCCAUGCCAGAGCCCACAGGAAGGCAGGAGAUGGGAGAGGAGACUUCUAGAACAACAUAGGAACACAAAGGAACAACAAAAACUGUCCAGACACGUACAACACAUUUCUCACAGCGCCGGCCCGUGGUGAACUGCUGGCAGAGGCACUCCCCAGUGGUAGAGUCACAGACGGAGAAAGGCAAAGUGCCGGCAGCAUCACAGUUGCAGGCUGUGGGGAGAGAAAUGUGUGGCUGCUUCAGUUGGCCCUGGUGACGGUAGCAGGGGUGGGAUGUGUCUAUCAGCAAGCCUCGCUCUGAGGAACAGCUGGCUGGAAGCUAUCACGGCCAGGCAGCAGCUCCCUUAAUCUACAGAGAGUUUAGCAGCAAGAAGAGCCACAAGAUACUCUCUAAGGAAUUUAAGCACCAGGCAGAGGAGGCAAAAUGUGUAACGGGCAUCUCAGUCAGAAGGUGCCUUCAGACCUCAGAAGGUGCCUUCAGACCUCAGAAGGUUUGUUUCUGGCCCACGUGCAUCUUACAUCAGUGAUGUUUUGAGUGUGGAAACGAAAAUGUGAGUGGAGUCUGCAGACUGGGGUGGUAUUUCCUUCUCCUAUUUCCUCAAAAGCAAUACAUUUAUCUCCCAGUGAACAGCAUCUAAACACAUUUAAAACAAUAGUUCUGACUGUGGCUUCCCAGAAAGAGCCAAAAGUGUCUUCUGAAGACCAAGAACUUGCCCUUGCCAUGAGAUCAUAGCAGCCAAUUGGGUAUUUCCUAACAUAGAGAGUAUCCAUGAGUUACUGUGUGCAUCUGUGCAUCUAACUACUCCCAUCUCUUAAAAAUGCUUUGGGAAGAACACAAGUGGUAGUUUACAUACGCUGGCAGCCCAGUGGGUCGCUGCCUCUCAGCCUGAAGUGGUUGGCCUUGCACUUGUCACAGCGGACACCCUCCACAUUCUCCUUGCACAGGCAUCGGCCUGCCACCGUUCCCAGCACAGGGUCUGUGUGGCUCUCACACGCACCAUGAUGCAGUGUGCCCUCUGGGUUACAGCUGCAGGCUAUAGGCAGAGUCAAAGAGACAUAAGAAAGCAUAUUUAGACAUAGGCAUGAAACUGCAAUUGUACAACUGCAGCUGUUGUCCAGCUUUGUUGUGAACGCUAGAGAUGUCCAUCCACACCUGCUGUGCUGGCAGCUUCACAUUUAAAGUACAAUCACUAUUAAGAAAUAUUUCAAGAGGGUUUCCAAGGUCAACUUUUUCUCUGGAGGAGAGUUCCAGUCUUCACUUUGGUAGAAUUUUACCCUUCUCCUUAGGCAAAAAUGAAUGUUGCUCAUCCACUCCUGAUGUUCUCCACCUGGGGAGAAGCAAGGCUCUGUACUUCUGGGGAUGCUUUUGUGAAAGCUGAAGUGUACAGAGGGGUACCACCAGGGAGCCCCCUCCCCAGGGAUGGCCUAAACUGGCCAUGUCUGAGUAAUUUGCUAGAAAGGAUGGGAUCAGCAGGGGCCACUGCCACCAUGAUACAUCUCACUUUCUUCUCAGGCUGUGUCUCACCACACUGCUAACAUCUACCACAACGCUUCCCUGGGUAAUCUCCCCUUAGCUCCUUAAG
Gallus gallus (chicken) is the source of this 2850-nucleotide long non-coding RNA. RefSeq lists it as uncharacterized. NCBI's taxonomy places the organism in Eukaryota, Metazoa, Chordata, Aves, Galliformes, Phasianidae. The record is from RefSeq and is a predicted model, not a curated record. The transcript is spliced from 5 exons.